This 119-nucleotide ribosomal RNA is filed under the name Triticum aestivum (bread wheat). The record is from RNAcentral. Lineage: Eukaryota; Viridiplantae; Streptophyta; Magnoliopsida; Poales; Poaceae.
GGAUGCGAUCAUACCAGCACUAAAGCACCGGAUCCCAUCAGAACUCCGAAGUUAAGCGUGCUUGGGCGAGAGUAGUACUAGGAUGGGUGACCUCCUGGGAAGUCCUUGUGUUGCAUUGC